CCGCCCGCGACACUGCGAGAAGUCCAUUGAACCUUAUCAUUUAGAGGAAGGAGAAGUCGUAACAAGGUUUCCGUAGGUGAACCUGCGGAAGGAUCAUUG
This 99-nucleotide ribosomal RNA is filed under the name Polystachya mauritiana. RNAcentral describes it as "partial 18S ribosomal RNA". It matches the Rfam family "Eukaryotic small subunit ribosomal RNA", at positions 1733 to 1831 of the family's 1831-position model. The record is from RNAcentral. Lineage: Eukaryota; Viridiplantae; Streptophyta; Magnoliopsida; Asparagales; Orchidaceae.